Molecule: ribosomal RNA, 1230 nt
Filed under: Bacillota bacterium
Lineage: Bacteria; Bacillati; Bacillota
Description: bacterial SSU rRNA
Rfam family: Bacterial small subunit ribosomal RNA
Source: RNAcentral
GNNCGGCGCUGCUACCAUGCAGUCGACGGUGAACACGGAGCUUGCUCUGUGGGAUCAGUGGCGAACGGGUGAGUAACACGUGAGCAACCUGCCCCUGACUCUGGGAUAAGCGCUGGAAACGGCGUCUAAUACUGGAUACGAGUAGCGACCGCAUGGUCAGUUACUGGAAAGAUUUAUUGGUUGGGGAUGGGCUCGCGGCCUAUCAGCUUGUUGGUGAGGUAAUGGCUCACCAAGGCGUCGACGGGUAGCCGGCCUGAGAGGGUGACCGGCCACACUGGGACUGAGACACGGCCCAGACUCCUACGGGAGGCAGCAGUGGGGAAUAUUGCACAAUGGGCGCAAGCCUGAUGCAGCAACGCCGCGUGAGGGAUGACGGCCUUCGGGUUGUAAACCUCUUUUAGCAGGGAAGAAGCGAAAGUGACGGUACCUGCAGAAAAAGCGCCGGCUAACUACGUGCCAGCAGCCGCGGUAAUACGUAGGGCGCAAGCGUUAUCCGGAAUUAUUGGGCGUAAAGAGCUCGUAGGCGGUUUGUCGCGUCUGCUGUGAAAUCCGGAGGCUCAACCUCCGGCCUGCAGUGGGUACGGGCAGACUAGAGUGCGGUAGGGGAGAUUGGAAUUCCUGGUGUAGCGGUGGAAUGCGCAGAUAUCAGGAGGAACACCGAUGGCGAAGGCAGAUCUCUGGGCCGUAACUGACGCUGAGGAGCGAAAGGGUGGGGAGCAAACAGGCUUAGAUACCCUGGUAGUCCACCCCGUAAACGUUGGGAACUAGUUGUGGGGUCCAUUCCACGGAUUCCGUGACGCAGCUAACGCAUUAAGUUCCCCGCCUGGGGGAGUACGGCCGCAAGGCUAAAACUCAAAGGAAUUGACGGGGACCCGCACAAGCGGCGGAGCAUGCGGAUUAAUUCGAUGCAACGCGAAGAACCUUACCAAGGCUUGACAUAUACGAGAACGGGCCAGAAAUGGUCAACUCUUUGGACACUCGUAAACAGGUGGUUGCAUGGGUUGUCGUCAGCUCGUGUCGUGAGAUGUUGGGUUAAGUCCCGCAACGAGCGCAACCCUCGUUCUAUGUUGCCAGCACGUAAUGGUGGGAACUCAUGGGAUACUGCCGGGGUCAACUCGGAGAAGGUGGGGGAUGACGUCAAAUCAUCAUGCCCCUAUGUCUGGGCUUCACGCAUGCUACCAUGNCGNACAAANGNNUGCCAAUACCCGCNAGNGANNGGAAUUCCCAANG